This 497-nucleotide ribosomal RNA is filed under the name uncultured bacterium. RNAcentral describes it as "partial 16S ribosomal RNA". It matches the Rfam family "Bacterial small subunit ribosomal RNA", at positions 28 to 507 of the family's 1533-position model. The record is from RNAcentral.
GAUGAACGCUGGCGGCGUGCCUAAUACAUGCAAGUCGAGCGAACGGACGAGAAGCUUGCUUCUCUGAUGUUAGCGGCGGACGGGUGAGUAACACGUGGAUAACCUACCUAUAAGACUGGGAUAACUUCGGGAAACCGGAGCUAAUACCGGAUAAUAUUUUGAACCGCAUGGUUCAAAAGUGAAAGACGGUCUUGCUGUCACUUAUAGAUGGAUCCGCGCUGCAUUAGCUAGUUGGUAAGGUAACGGCUUACCAAGGCAACGAUGCAUAGCCGACCUGAGAGGGUGAUCGGCCACACUGGAACUGAGACGCGGUCCAGACUCCUACGGGAGGCAGCAGUAGGGAAGCUUCCGCAAUGGGCGGAAGCCUGGCGGAGCAACGCCGCGUGAGUGAUGAAGGUCUUCGGAUCGUAAAACUCUGUUAUUAGGGAAGAACAUAUGUGUAAGUAACUGUGCACAUCUUGACGGUACCUAAUCAGAAAGCCACGGCUAACUACGUG